RNAcentral lists this ribosomal RNA (117 nucleotides) under Candidatus Roizmanbacteria bacterium. The record is from RNAcentral. Lineage: Bacteria; Candidatus Roizmaniibacteriota.
CCUGGUUAUUUGAGCGAUUUGGAACCACCUCUUCCCAUCCCGAACAGAGAAGUGAAACGAAUCAGCGCCGAUGAUACUCCGGCCUUCGGGCCGAGGGAAAGUAGGUCGUAGCCAGGG